CCCCGCCAUAGUCUGCAUGUAUGUGACUGUUCCAAGUCAGAAGCCUGUUAUUCAGUGAUUUUCUUUUGUUGAUGUGUUACAUAAAUUAUUUGUUUUUCUUUCAUUUUUUUAACAUAAAUUAAGCCGUUAAUAUUGGGGGGGGGGGGCAUUAUUAUUUCAUUUAUUUUACAUUUGUCAUUCGGGGAGUCAGGAUGACUCGUUUUACAUAACAAAAUUAU
RNAcentral lists this long non-coding RNA (218 nucleotides) under Mytilus galloprovincialis (Mediterranean mussel). Lineage: Eukaryota; Metazoa; Mollusca; Bivalvia; Mytilida; Mytilidae. The record is from RNAcentral.